This 1326-nucleotide ribosomal RNA is filed under the name Lolia dictyospora. Its description in RNAcentral is "eukaryotic LSU rRNA". It matches the Rfam family "Eukaryotic large subunit ribosomal RNA", at positions 69 to 1413 of the family's 3401-position model. Lineage: Eukaryota; Fungi; Ascomycota; Dothideomycetes; Pleosporales; Lindgomycetaceae. The record is from RNAcentral.
CAGGGAUUGCCCUAGUAACGGCGAGUGAAGCGGCAACAGCUCAAAUUUGAAAUCUGGCUCCUUCCGGGGUCCGAGUUGUAAUUUGUAGAGGGUGCUUUGGCGUCGGCCAUGGCCUAAGUUCCUUGGAACAGGGCGUCACAGAGGGUGAGAAUCCCGUACGUGGCCGCUGGCCUUCGCCAUGUAAAGCCCCUUCGACGAGUCGAGUUGUUUGGGAAUGCAGCUCUAAAUGGGAGGUAAAUUUCUUCUAAAGCUAAAUAUUGGCCAGAGACCGAUAGCGCACAAGUAGAGUGAUCGAAAGAUGAAAAGCACUUUGGAAAGAGAGUCAAAAAGCACGUGAAAUUGUUGAAAGGGAAGCGCUUGCAGCCAGACUUGCCCGUAGUUGCUCAUCCAGGUUUCGGCCUGGUGCACUCUUCUGCGGGCAGGCCAGCAUCAGUUCAGGCGGUCGGAUAAAGGUCCCGGGAAUGUAGCUCUCUCCGGGGAGUGUUAUAGCCCGGGGCGCAAUGCGGCCAGCUUGGACUGAGGUCCGCGCAUCUGCUAGGAUGCUGGCGUAAUGGCUGUAAGCGGCCCGUCUUGAAACACGGACCAAGGAGUCUAACAUCUAUGCGAGUGUUUGGGUGUCAAGCCCGAGCGCGCAAUGAAAGUGAACGGAGGUGGGAACCCGCAAGGGCGCACCAUCGACCGAUCCUGAUGUCUUCGGAUGGAUUUGAGUAAGAGCAUAGCUGUUGGGACCCGAAAGAUGGUGAACUAUGCCUGAAUAGGGUGAAGCCAGAGGAAACUCUGGUGGAGGCUCGCAGCGGUUCUGACGUGCAAAUCGAUCGUCAAAUUUGGGCAUAGGGGCGAAAGACUAAUCGAACUAUCUAGUAGCUGGUUCCUGCCGAAGUUUCCCUCAGGAUAGCAGUAACGUUUUCAGUUUUAUGAGGUAAAGCGAAUGAUUAGAGGCCUGGGGGUUGAAACAACCUUCACCUAUUCUCAAACUUUAAAUAUGUAAGAAGUCCUUGUUACUUAAUUGAACGUGGACAUUUGAAUGUACCGUUACUAGUGGGCCAUUUUUGGUAAGCAGAACUGGCGAUGCGGGAUGAACCGAACGCGGGGUUAAGGUGCCAGAAUGCACGCUCAUCAGACACCACAAAAGGUGUUAGUUCAUCUAGACAGCAGGACGGUGGCCAUGGAAGUCGGAAUCCGCUAAGGAGUGUGUAACAACUCACCUGCCGAAUGAACUAGCCCUGAAAAUGGAUGGCGCUCAAGCGUGCUACCCAUACCCCGCCGCCAGGGCACAUAUUAUGCCCUGGCGAGUAGGCAGGCGUGGAGGCUUGUGACGAAGCCUUG